Molecule: long non-coding RNA, 751 nt
Organism: Eucalyptus grandis
Lineage: Eukaryota; Viridiplantae; Streptophyta; Magnoliopsida; Myrtales; Myrtaceae
Exons: 2
Source: RefSeq, a predicted model, not a curated record
UCACUUACCCCGUUUUGCGUAACUCCUCAACGUAAAAAAAGGUGCUGACCAGCCUACCGAAACACACCCACCCAUUAUAAUGAGAGCCCACCUAACGAAAAUUCGCAUUUCUCUGCAGGUUGUGGAAGAAUCAUCGCAACAUCACCUCUCCCUGGUUUCCUCAGUUCUUCCUGUUAAGAGUUUUCUUGAUGGCGACGAAUAACUAUCCACCAAAUAAUCCGGGUUUUGUGUACUUCCCUCCUCCAUCGGCAUGGAUCGAUCCGAAUUCAGUAUCGUCCGACGAUUGCAACAACAAUACUCCGACGUGGGUCAUUGUCUGCAUAGUGCUUGUUGUGGUCAUACUCUUCGUUUUCCUUUUCUACUACUUCUGGAAGCGAGAGAAGAAAAUCUGGAAAAUAGCGGCCUCGGCAUCUGCUCCGGCCGCAAAGUGAGACCAUCACCUGCGUCAACUACAAAGCUGGCUUGAUCCGAAUCCACUAGCCAAGCCGCCGCUAGUGGGUGUCCAGAUUUUAUUUCCAGGCGAUUGUCAGGAGGACUAUAUUCUUUCUCAUAUUUUUGCCCUCUGUGCAAGUAUAAGAUCGAAUAUAAUGUAGUGUAUUCAGAUAAUAAAUCAGACAGAAAUACUAUAUGUUAUUAAUUUGGAAGCUAAUAUGCAUUUGUGUGUUGAAACUUGAACGAUGCAUAGUGAUAAAUCAUCUACUCUCCUAUACAACAUUAGAGAUUCAAUGCAAUAAAUCAUUUUUAUGCUGGA